Long non-coding RNA from Pogona vitticeps (central bearded dragon), 1604 nucleotides. NCBI's taxonomy places the organism in Eukaryota, Metazoa, Chordata, Lepidosauria, Squamata, Agamidae. The record is from Ensembl.
AUUUUCCUUAUUUAGUCAUCCACCAGAAGCCAUAAACAAGAAUCUGGAAUGUGGAUGAACUGCAAAACCAUUAAUGUUUUUUUUUUCUUAGAAACUUUCCAGAAAUAUUAAUUGAAAGGUUCAAUGUCCAGGACCAAAUAUUAGGGAAGAAUUUAGAUUACUUAUCUUGUGUUUCAUAAGCUAAUGCGGAAACAUCAAAGGAGAUGGCAACAUCAUGUUUGGUUUCAUGAUGCAGUGGAAAGCUAUCACUGUGCAGAGAUUCUCAGUAUGUUUUUGAUCAUUGAAACAGUUGUUUUGGAAAUGAGAAGUUGUAGAAAUGAUCCCUGUUACUUCUCUCCUUCACAGAUCCCUGCUGUCAUAAGUCCUUACAUGCACGACAGAGAAAGUGGUAGCAAGUUAGAGCAGGACAGUGACCUGGAAGCCUUCAGAACAAGGCGUGGCAUGAUGGAGUAUCAUGACAUGACACUACCUCAGUGGAACAAAUCUGUUCUCAGGACAGUGAGUGCUUGGAGCGGACGAGGCCAGGGAAUGAGAAGAAGAAAACAGAUGCCUCUUUGGGCCCCAUAAUAUAAAAGUGAUGAGAUAUGAACAGAGUAAAAAUGAAGAAGAAUGAAAACAGCUACACACACAUCAAAAAGUCCUGAAGAAGAAGAGAAAAAGCACAGCCCUCCCUCUUAAAAAAAAAGAAACAAAAAAAACACACACACACAUACAGACAAAACCCUCUCUGGCGAGCCUGUUCAAGGGUGAAAAGUUGGACAGAAGAGAAAGGUCUUUUGCUGAUAGAGGGACAGGAGAGAAGGGGCCAACCUACAGCUUCCUGUGAAAGUUAUCUCUUGAGGCCUCACUGCACAUUGUCUGUGAGCAUUGUGAAAGUAGAGAACUGCUCCCCCCAAAGCUCUUAAAACCUGAAGAGGUUCAUAGGGGGAAGGAGGUAAAGGUAAAGGUUCCCCUUGACAUAUUUUGUCCAGUCGUGUCUGACUCUAGGGGGCGGUGCUCAUCCCGUUCUUCAAGCCGUAGAGUCAGUGCUUGUCCAGAGGGGGCGUCCGUUGUCACGUGGCCAGCGUGACUAAAGAACACCAUUUUACCUUCCCACCGAGGUGGUACCUAUUUAUCUACUCGCAUUUGCGUGCUUUCGAACUGCUAGGUUGGCAAGGAGCUGGGACAAAGUGACGGGAGCUUACUCCAUUGCGUGGAUUCGAUCUUACGACUGCUGGUCUUCUGACCCUGCAGCACAGGCUUCUGCGGUUUAGCCCACAGUGCCACGACAUCCCUAGGGGGAAGGAACAAUUCUUCAAAUAACCUGGUCCCAAGUUGUGCAUUGUGUGACCAGCUGUGAUAAACCUGGGACAAAUGGAUUGUGUUAUUCUACAAUAGCAGUGCUCUUGUUAUCCAUAUCUGUGGUUUUGAACUGAAAGGAAAGUGAUAAGACACAAUUAAAUCUGUUAAAAUGCUUCUAAUUGGACAGGAUAGAUAUAAAAGAGAUUUGAAUCUGUUGAAUGACUAAAAAUCACCAAGAUUCAUGUUUCUAAAUUACAGAAUGAUGUAUAGAUAAUAACCGUAUGCUAUAUAAGCCUAAAUGUGUGUUCUCCAUUUGCUAUUUU